GAUGAACGCUGGCGGCGUGCUUAACACAUGCAAGUCGAACGAUGAAGCCCAGCUUGCUGGGUGGAUUAGUGGCGAACGGGUGAGUAACACGUGAGUAACCUGCCCUUGACUCUGGGAUAAGCCCGGGAAACUGGGUCUAAUACCGGAUAGGAGCGCCUGUCGCAUGACGGGUGCUGGAAAGAUUUUUCGGUCAUGGAUGGACUCGCGGCCUAUCAGCUUGUUGGUGAGGUAAUGGCUCACCAAGGCGACGACGGGUAGCCGGCCUGAGAGGGUGACCGGCCACACUGGGACUGAGACACGGCCCAGACUCCUACGGGAGGCAGCAGUGGGGAAUAUUGCACAAUGGGCGGAAGCCUGAUGCAGCGACGCCGCGUGAGGGAUGACGGCCUUCGGGUUGUAAACCUCUUUCAGUAGGGAAGAAGCGAAAGUGACGUACCUGCAGAAGAG
RNAcentral lists this ribosomal RNA (447 nucleotides) under Micrococcus sp. oral taxon F54. RNAcentral's name for it is "bacterial SSU rRNA". It matches the Rfam family "Bacterial small subunit ribosomal RNA", at positions 28 to 489 of the family's 1533-position model. Lineage: Bacteria; Bacillati; Actinomycetota; Actinomycetes; Micrococcales; Micrococcaceae. The record is from RNAcentral.